AGCAGAGUUUUCUUUAAAAAUAGAUAUCCAAAAAAUUCUAAACCUGUCUACAAAACUUACAAUCAUCGAUACAUAUCCAAACCACCAAAAAAACCAUCAUUCCAUACCAAAAAAUCACCAGAACCAUGUAUAAUUAAUUAGCUUUACAAAAGACGGAACACAAAAAAUACAAAUGGACAGAAAAUAGAGAAAUAUGUUGCAUAAGACCCAUUACUUUACAGCUUACACCAAGUAUCCUUCAAUGUAUACCUGAAAAUAUUUGAAAUAUAAAAAUUAUCGAAAUAUGUGUCAAAAUAUAAUAACUGUAACACUACAAGAAAAAGGCCUAUCAGCGACCAAGGAUAUCAGCGACCGCAUAUCCGAUCGCAGAUAAUACUUACAGCGACCAACAUCCGCGACCGUAACUAAAUCUGGUCGCUAUUUACUAUCAGUGACCGCAUGCGGUCGCUGCUCGGUCGCUGACAUUAGUUUCCCUCCCAAAAAUUGGUGCGAAAAGGUGGCGCGUUUAUUUGUUGCGACCAAUAUAUAUCAGCGACCGCAUUGCAGUCGCUAAAGGGGCCACGUCAUAAAAAAUCAGCGACCGCAAGCAGUCGCUGAUCAACUAAAACUUAUUCAGACUCAGGUUCGCGAUAUCAGUAGAAGAAAAAAAAGAGGGAGAUACAUGAGGGAGAAGAGGGAGUAGGGGGAAGAGAGGACCUGUACUGUCGCACCACCGCUGCACUACCCGCUUCACCACUGCCGCACCACCACUUCACUACACCGGUAAACUAAUUUUGGGUUUAAUUUGUUUGUUUAAUAUGCUAGAAUUUGUGUUUAAUUUAGGGUUUUAAUAUAUUUUGUUAUAAAAAUGAUGAAUCCUCGAAUGAAUUAGUGUUCAAUUUGAGUUUUGAAAUUUAAUCUAGGGUUUAAUUUGUUAUAUAUUAAUCGAGGCUGAAUUCAACUUGGGUUUGAUAUGUUGGAAAUUUGGAUUUGAUAUUUACUGUAUUGUAUACUGCAAUUAGUGUUUGAUUUGUGCAAAUACAUAUUCUACAAUUAAGUUUUAAUUUGUAUAAAUUUGAGUUUGAUAUGUAAUGUAUGAACAGAAAAGAAUGUAUCAAUUUUUGGUUUGUUUAUGCAUGUUUAGGUAUAGUGUGUAUAUUUGAUAUAUAUAUAUAUAUAUGGAAUAGUAACAUUUAUCUCUGACGACUAUUUCGUAGAAAUUAAGUUUCAUGCCCUGACACGUAUAUCUGUAAACUUUUAGUUUCCUUAUUCUGUUUUGCAAUAGCAAAUUUUGUAGGAUUAUUUUUUGAUUUUAUUUCAGUGUACUGAUUCCUGGUGGUUCCAUCGCUAAUCUUCCUAUAAAUUUCAUUCCUAAACCCCGUAGGCUGCUUUGGUUUAUCUAGUCUUGAUACUGUUUUACAUAUUGAUAGACACAAACCUAGAUUGGAUCUAGAGCUGUAAUUUGGUUUAUUAGUGUGUUUUCUAGAGCUGUAAUUUGGUUUAUCUAGUCUUAAUACUGAUUUAUCGUUAUUGUUUUGGUCUUAUUAUAUUGGAAAUUUGUAUAUUUCUCUUGAUUUGUGUCUUGGGUGCCUAGAAAUGACUUUAUAUAUAUGCUGUCGUGCAUGUGGCUAGUCUAUAUUAUAGGGGAGACUCUGGCGAAUUUUUUUUAUUGGUCGGGUAGUUGCGAACAUUUAUACUAUUAAUGAGCCUAUUGUUGAUCCACUAGAGCCUAUUAAGGGGCUAUUGGAGUUGAUGGGCUGGGCUUGGGACAACGAGGCCACAUGAGACCACGCCAAGCUUAGCCAAGCCUCACGGGGCAAAUCCAAGCUUGGUUGUUAGCAUGGAAAGCUAUUGGGGGGCUGCUAAGCCAAAAUAGGCAGUGCUAGGGAACUGUUAGUGCAACAGAGAAGGUAACUAGACACACAUGGUCAAUAAAGAGACUGUUUAUCUUUUUAACAAGGGUAUUUAACACUUAUGUAUAUAAGAAUAAAGCUACAAAAUGUUAUAGAAGCUAUAAAUUGCUCAACCAAGUUGUGACUAUCCCAAAACAUAGAAAAUUAUAGAAAGGGACAGUGACGGGCAUAAUCUUAAAACAUGUUAGGCGCCUUAACACACUAGUUGAUAUGAAUGAAUCUCCAAGAUACUUAAAAGUUGUAUAACAUUCAAAGUUUCUCAUAUGUUAAUUAACAUUUAUAAUGUUGUCUGUAGUAGGUACUGUGGAAUCAUGGACCUCUAUUCAGACCGUAGUUGGAUGGCACGACGAAAGUCUAGUGCCCAGAUAGGUGCUACAUCUGAAUUUAGAGCUGGUUGCCAAGUGUUUUUAGAGUAUGCGUAUAGUCACCCGGAAUGUAUGAAUGGUAAGUCGCAGAUACGAUGUCCAUGUUUGAAGUGUAAGAAUGUAAAUUAUAUGGACAGAGACAUGGUAAACUAUCAUUUACUUGUUUCUGGGUUCAUGAGAAAUUACGAAGAAUGCUGGUGGGCACAUGGGCAGAGAAGAGAUGGUGGCAUCGUACAAGUACACAAUUCGGGCAGUAGCACUCAUCGUAUGAAUGAAAUGGUUCAUGAUAUUGCAAGGCUAGAUUUUGAUUGGGAGCAAGGCAGAGAGCAACAAAUGAAUUCUGAUGCCAAAGACUUCUUUAAGUUGUUAGAUGAGGGUAGCGAGCCAUUGUGGCAUGGUUGCACCAAACACACUACAUUGUCUGCAGUGGCGACAUUACUUAACAUCAAGGCUGAUCACAACAUGAGCCAUGAGUGUUUUGAGUCGCUCUUGAAUGCCAUUAAGAGUAUGUUGCCUGACGGUGAGAAAUUACCUGGUAACUAUUACUUUUGUAAGAAAAUGGUGAAGAAGUUGGGUCUUGGAUACCAAAAGAUCGAUGCAUGUCCCAACGAUUGCAUGUUGUUUUAUAAGGAAAAUGAACAGUUGACAAGGUGCACGUUUUGCAGUCAUGAUCGGUUUAGGCCUAAUAAAGAGGGUGUGACUACAAAAAUAUCAAGUAUACCGUUUAAGAUUCUAAGGUAUUUUCCAAUAACACAUCGACUAAAAAGAUUGUACAUGUCUUCAAGAACAGCUGAACAUAUGAGUUGGCAUGCGAAAUCUCCAGCUAAAGAUGGAGAACUAAAUCAUCCCGCAGAUGGGAAGGCUUGGAAAGAUUUCAACUUAGCACAUCCUGGAUUUGCAUUGGAACCUAGAAAUGUGAGGCUUGGAUUGUCCACCGAUGGUUUCAAUCCGUUUGGCCACUCAGCUGUUCCGUACUCAUGUUGGCCUGUGAUUGUUACUCCGUACAACUUGCCUCCUUGGAUGUGUAUGAAACAGCCAUACUUGUUUCUUUCACUCGUGGUUCCUGGUCCUAAGAGUCCUGGAAAGAACUUAGAUGUUUACUUGAGACCUCUUAUAGACGAGUUGAAGGUAUUGUGGGAGGAUGGAGUACAGACUUGGGAUGUUGCAACGAAAACAAAUUUCAACCUUAGGGCAGCGGUUAUGUGGACUAUAAGUGACUUCCCAGCUUAUGGUAUGUUAGCUGGAUGGAGUACACACGGGAAGUUGGCUUGUCCGUAUUGUAUGGAGCAUACAAAGUCGUUUAAUCUAUCAAAAGGUCGAAAGCCUUGUUGGUUUGACUGUCAUCGUCGGUUCUUACCGGUAGAUCACCCGUUUCGAAGAAAUAGAGAACACUUCAGGAAAGGGAAAGUAGAUAAUGAUAUGCCUGCACCGCGAUUGUCGGGAACAGAGAUGCGAGAUCGUGUGAUGAGAUUGCCGGUUAUCCCAUUUGGUAAGGUUGAUGUCACAAACAUAAUCAAUGGGUUUGGUGAAUCUCAUAACUGGGUUCGGAGAAGCAUCUUUUGGGAACUGCCAUAUUGGUCUACAAAUUUGAUUCGUCAUAAUCUAGAUGUGAUGCAUAUUGAGAAGAAUGUGUUUGACAAUGUGUUUAACACUGUGAUGAAUGUUACGGGGAAGACAAAAGAUAACGAUAAGGCACGUUUGGACAUGAAAGAUAUUUGUAAGCGUCCUAGAUUAGAACUUUAUGAAUCUCCUAAUGGUAAGAUUGUCAAACCGCAUGCAAGGUACACAUUGUCCAAAAAGCAAGUUGAAGAUGUGUGCACAUGGGUUAAGUCUCUGAAACUACCAGAUGGAUAUGCGUCAAACAUUGCAAGGUGUGUUACGGGUGGGAAAUUGCAAGGGAUGAAGAGUCAUGACUGUCAUGUGUUCAUGGAGAGACUCAUGCCUAUAGCAUUUCGGGAUCUGCUUGAUAAACCAAUAUGGGAUGCUUUGACGGAUCUUAGUCGUUUCUUCAAAGACUUGUGUUCAAAAUCAUUGAAUGAGAAGGACAUGUUUGUACUUGAGAAGAACAUCAUAGAAAUCACGUGUAAACUGAAAAAAAUAUUCCCACCUGGUUUUUCUGACUCCAUGGAGCAUUUACAAAUCCAUCUUCCCUAUGAAGCUCGUGUUGGGGGUCCAGUUCAAUAUAGAUGGAUGUACCCUUUUCGAGAGGGUGAUGGGAAACCUUAAGAGGAAGGUGAAGAAUAGAGCUUAUGUCGAGGGGUCGAUAUGCGAGGCAUACAGUUUCGAUGAGAUAUCUACGUUUGUCUCAGACUAUAUUCCGGACGAAGUCUUGACAAAGGCCAAUCGAGUAUGGAAACAUGAUGAUGGGGGAAAUGUUGAACUAAAUGGUCGGCUCUCUGUAUUUGGUCUAUCGGGCCGCGCUUAUGGAAAAAGGAAGCGCAUAUUCCUCUCUGAACAUGAACUACAUGUUGCACAUACUUACAUUCUUCUCAAUUGCGAGGAGAUUGACGAAUUUGUGAGGUACACAUGUAAACUUGAUAAUUUAUCUUUUAAGUUGAAAUUUUAUUCCAAUAUGUUAAUGUUUAUAACAUGGUAUAGAUUGUACGAUGACGAGUUAAAAGUGGAGCAUCCCGGCAUAACUGAUAAAGAUAUUCAAAUCAAUCGGGAUAAAAACUUUGCACUUUGGCUAAAGGACAAAGUAAGUUCAAAUUUUAAGCACGUAGUAUAUAUAUAUAUACUCCAUGUUAACUAUGACUUCAUUUAAUAAGAUGGAGUUUUUGUAGGCUUUGACUGAGGGAUCAACGAUUCCGGCUAAUGUACAAGUCCUAGCUAUGGGACCAGACAGGGACCAAGUCAGCCGCAAUGGUUACAAAAUAAAUGGUUGUGAAUUUCACACAAAGGCAUAUGGGCGCGGUAAAAGAACAACGAACUCUGGAGUGUGUGUCCAAGGAGAUUGUUACAGUGAGCUUGGUCGUGCCUUUUAUGGGGAGUUGGAGGAAAUCGUAGAGUUGUCGUACAAGGGCACGUACGGGGGUCAUAUUCACUUGUUCAAGUGCUGUUGGUUUGAUUCAGAAAAAGGGAUACGUGUUGACAGACAUGGAAUCAUCGAUAUUGACCUCCAUAGGUCUGCAUACUCAAAGGAACCAUUUGUUUUACCAACUCAAACAGUACAAGUAUACUACACUCCUAGUCCUUUUAGGAAAAGGGAUAGACCGCCUACAGAUUGGCAAGUUGUAAUUCAUACUCCCGCGCGUAGUCGUGUAGAAUUAGUUGAUGGGGAGAUUUACCAAGAGCAGAUGCUUUAUACUCAAACUAUAAUAAAUGUGGAGGACGACAAUGAAGUAAUCCAGUUAGAUGGUGGAGAUGAACCACAUGAAUUAGAUCCUGAGUCAAUACUUGUGUCAGAUGACAUUGAUACUGAGGAGAAAGAGUUAUUGACUGAAUCUGACACUGAAUCUGAAACAGAUGAUGGUUAUGAAUCUGCAACAUGUAUACAAGAUGAUUCUGAAUCAGACAUUGACACUUGAAACAAAUGAGGGAAUCAAUUAAAGCAGAUAUUGUUGUAAUUAAAGCACUUCUUAUAUUUACAUGUCAUUUUAAAACAGAUAUUCUUAUACACUUUUUGUUUACUGUCAUUUUAUAUUCAUAUAUAUACAUGUUUAAAUCACUGUCAUGUUUAUGUACUAAACUAUUUAAAUGCAAUUUUUGCUUAUUGUCAUUUUAUACAUGUAAUCAAAUAUGACUCUGCAAAACAUCUUGAAAUUUGUAAUAUACAGAUGGCUUCUGAAGCAGCGCAGAAAAAGCGCGACUUGGGUAGGGGGCCUAAUCAUGUGCCCAAGGCCCCUACUAAUCCGGAUGAUCGGAUUCUUAUUCAGAUUCGCCCUCCUCCGAAUAGCACGUACGUCCCGCAUAUAUCAAUUUUAUAUAAGCAUUUAAGAUUCCAUUUGUUGUAUAUUGGUAAUGUUUUGAUUGAUAUUAAAUUGAUUUAAUAUAUGAUAAUUGAUGUUGUAUAUUAUAGUAAUUUUUCAGAUAAUAAAAUCGUCAAGUGCAUAUCACAGCUGUGUUUACAGAAUUGGCAUACAUCUGUGAUUACGUGGGCGAACACACCUAUCGCCCACAAGGAUGCUGUUUGGGCAGAAUUUCAGGUAAGUUUUUUUUAAUUAUGACAGAUAAUAUUAAUAUAAUAUUCAAAGGAUAAUUAUUUAGUAGUGUUAUUAUUGUUGUUUUAUUUGUAGAAAAGGUAUAGAUGGGAGGACGCGCAUGCUUCGGUGAUUCAGACAUUAUUUUGGCAGAAGUGCGCGGUCCGUACCAAGGAUAACUUGAAUAAAGAACGACAAAAAGUCAUUCACAAUACCGAGAUCGACCAUCCAGGCCAGGGAGAGGAUUAUAUGCACGAGCAUAGCCCCUGGUGGUGCCCCCAGUCCAUAUGGGCUGAGAUGUGUGCCCAGUGGAGGGCUGAGAGCUGGGUUAAAAGACGAAAGACUGCCGCCACCAACAGAGCCUCGGGUGUAUCCGAUGGCGAAAAGGCUAAAGGAACAUACAAGGGCGACAGUAUUUCACAGUUGCAGCACAUCACUGCCAUGGUACGUAUUUACAAGUCUUAAUAUGUUUUCAAUUAUGAAUUGUAGAAAAUAUAUCCCAUUUUUACUUAGUAAUAUUGUGUUAUUUUUGUAUAGGAAUUUCAGUCUCAAGGUCAGUCUAUCCAUUGGCUGGAUGUGUACGUGGCCACCCGUGAUGGUCUGCUUGAGGCUAUCCAGAUAUCGGUAAUAAAUUUUAACAACUUGAUCUUUAAUUAAUGCUUACAGAAUUAAUUUAUUUUUAAUUAUUUAAUUGUUAACAUGAUGACAUGCAGGACACUUAUAAGCGUUUAUUGAAUGAGCACUAUCCUGAAGGCACUCCAUGUCCGUCUAUCGAUCAAGAGUUGUGGGAGAGGGCGUCUGUUGUGAAGAAGAACUACGUUAAAGGUCAAGGACAACGACGACGCCCAUCCUUCAGUGGCUCAGGUUGCUCUUCUACCCAGUCUACACAGUCAUCGAGCCAUCCAGCUGUUCAUACUCCGGCUGACUGUGUGAGAGUUAUAUGUCAAGAUCGAAAUCUUUUGACAAUACUGGGCGGGAAUCUGGGGGCUCUGGAUCCUGAGGAGUUAGCUAAGGCAGUGGCGGCAGCAGCAGCAUCACAACACGGGGAUGACGAUGAGGUAUAAAAUCAAUUUAUUGUAUAUUGUCGUAAUAUACCAAUAUUAACAUAGUUAGUAUAUAUUUGUAACUUGUUUUAUUAUUUUGUUAAUUACAGGGUGAUCAAGAAGGCGGUGAUGCUUGACGCACCUGCUUUAGAUUAGUUUUAUAGUUAUAGUAUAAGUUUGUACUUGUUUCAUUCUUCGGAUGUUUGUAUAUUGUUACUUAAACAAGUUUUGAAAUGUUAUUAUAUUUAUUCAAAAUCAUAUUGGUUUUGAAUGGUUUAUAUACUAGUUUGGUGUAUGUGUUAUAUGGUGGACGAUGGAUGUUUAUAUUGUUGUGUAUGCUGUUGUUAUGUAUGUGUGUUGGGAUAAAACAGGUACAGGUUUUUGGGAUUUAUGCAAAAUAGCAAGAUUAUGUUAUUUUAUUUUUCUAUAUCAGCGACCGCAUACAGUCGCGGAUAUUAAUAGCGAUGGAAAAUAAAUUGUGAGCAUCAGCGACCGCAUGCGGUCGCCGAUAACGGUCGCUGCCACGUGGAAUACGUCAUCUUUGGCCAUGCACCAUGCUGACUCAGCUUAGCGAUCGCAUUUGGCGUUACGGUCGCUAUUAUCGGUCGCAAAUAAGUCGGUCGCUAAUAGUGGUCGCUGAUGUGCAUUUUAGCGACCAGAUUUUGUGCAACGUCUUUCAGCGAUCGUAUGCGGUCGCUGAUGGUUAUCUGUGACGGCAUGCGGUCGCUGAUAGACGGUCGCUUAUAAAGCUUUUUCUUGUAGUGUAAAUUCGAAACAUAAGAACCCUUACUUUACCCUGAAUUAUAAAUGGCAGGUAAAAUAAAUAAUAAAUGGUUCAUGUAAACAAAGUACAAAACACAAAUUUCUCAGAUUCAACUGUAUUAGAGGAGACUAUUCAAAAGAUUAUGUCUAGUAUUGGCGACGUUGCCUUUGUCUCUUUCAUUAUUAAAUUUUGCCCACUAAAUCUUGCUUCACCCUUAAAUCAUGUGUUUGCCUAAUUUUAUUUUAUUUGGUUGUAUUGCUUCAAUCUGAUCCGAUUUUAUUGUCUACUUUUCUCUAUAGGAGUCCAAAUCAGUUUCGAUGAUUUGUUUACUGAUGAAAAGAACAAUUUCAAAGAGCAGUGGAUUCUGGAGAGCUAAGCAGUUUGAUUGAGCCAUGAGAAUCUUACCUUGAUUGCAAAAGCCUUCCGCUAGAACAAUAUAUAUAUAUAUAUAUAUAUAUAUAUAUCAUAUCUCUGAGCCCAGAAGGAAUCCAACUUGUUCAACCACUUGUGAAAUAUGAAAUGACAGCAUCAGUGCAAAAGAAUAUGUUAUGGGGACUGGCAAUAGGAUCGGUCAUGCUUACCUUGAGUAUGUAUAUCUUCUGUUUUGGGUCAAGGUAGGCAUCCAAGAACCAUCUCUGAAGCUCUAUCUCACUGUUUGGAGAAAACAUGCAUGCUCUCCAGCUUCCAAACACAUUGGUGGCUUGCAAUUUGGAUUGGGAACCUACUUUUCCUUGGGAGAAACGCUUUUAGUUUUCCUGUUUUGUGACAUGCAGAGGCUGAUUCAGGCUACAGGCGAACAUGGGAAUUCAUUUACUAAGUUUUAAAAACUCAAAACCAAGGUGUAAGGAAAAGGGUAAAAAAGGACAAAUAGGACUCUCACAGUAUUUAUAAUUUAAAAUUCCCUUCUGCCAAUAUAUUGUUACUAUCAAUGGUGAAUAUAAAAUUCUCAACAAUGCAGUUUAGUUUCUUCUGCUCACCCUGAUGCAAUUUUUAUCGGCUCUUUCUCAAUAUAUUGUUACUAUCGGCGCUUUGGGCCAUAAUUUUAGAGGAAGCGAAAUUUGUGCGGGAGCCUAAGAUAGGAAGUGAUGUGUGAAAUAAAUUAAAAAAUUAGUGAACUAAUAUAAUUUCAAAUCCCUAAUAUAAAUUACAUUAAUCUACCGUAAGUAAACACAACGUAGCAAUUUACGAAGGGGAAACAAAAAAAUUAAGAAAAUUAACUAAGAAUCUAUAAUAUGUAAAAAUGACUAAGGAAACCAAUACAUAAUUUGGACAAUAUGUUAGCAGGUCAAAAAUCAAAUUCAUGUAGAGCUGCGAAAUUCAUGUUAGAAUAGAGUCGUGUGUGCGUGAGAGAGAUGUGCAAGGGUGAGAGUGAAGUGUGAGGAACUCAAAAAUAUAACCGACAAUAUAGUGUAUAUCGCUCUAACCGAAAUUCUAACACGUUAGAUAGCUAUUAGAUAUCUACAACGAAAAAUAUCUUUUCCAUACCAACUAUGUUUUUAUGGAUUCAUCUAAUGACGUCAUCAUUACUUUCUGCCAGAACUAACUUAUAAUGAGGUAAGAACAUCAUUCCCAUCCAUUCCUGCUAUCCAAAUGAGGCCUCAUGGCCUGUGAUUACACCAUAUAAAGGCCCUUCACUCCAAUACAAUUGGGCUAGAUGACAGUUCAUGAGGAUAAUUAACUUCACUGGAUAAAUUUUACAUAGUUACCACCCACUAACAGGUUUCAACCAAUGCCAUUCAUAUCCCACUUAGCUUACCUUCCAGUUAUACUAUAUACAAACAGGAGUACAUUGAUUUUCAUCCAGCCCCUAAAUCAACUAAACUUCGUGUUUAUAACAGGGCCUCCUAAUAUCCUCCUAUCUCUCUAUCAAAAAUUAAAUACAUCAGUAUCAACCAUCACGUUCCUUAAUUAGCUUUCAAUAUACUCCACCAAAACAGAGAUGCAAUUAUAGAAAAUUAAUAGGUACUUAGAUGCUUGGAGGAGAUUAACUUCAUAAUGUUAGAAACAAACAGGAUCUUUAUGCUGCAUUUGGCACACAUUACGUUCAAGCUUAGAAAAACUUGAUAUUUGAAGUUAGAUAAACCCAAGGGGAUAACUCAAGUGUACUAAACCUAGAGAUAUGUGCCUUUAAAAGUCAAUACUUCGCAAAGGGAAUGCUCUCCUUAGGGCGACCCACAUAAAAUUUACUACUAUUAGGCUUAAUUGGUGUGUGGUGGGUGGGGUAUUGCAUGCAUAAUAGAGCAAGCUAAGUCUUUAUCUUUCUAUUAUUAGUUAGAUUCUGUUUGACUUGGUAUUUAAAGUUUGAAUUUUGUAUUUUCAGUUUCAUUAUUUUUAGGAGUUAGUUUAGGAAGCUAUGUACUUGAAUUGUUUUUAAACUCAUUUGUUAAUUAUAAAUAAUGAUCAAUGAAUAACCAAGAGGUGAAUGCAGUUUCUCUAUUUUAUACUCUUCACCUCUAUGUAACAACACACACCCUAAGGUAGUGGAUGCAGGUUCUAUGAAGAAAAAAAAACUAUCUGGUUAGAUAUGUUACCAUCAUAUAACUUUAAAUUUCUUUAUUUUUCAAUAUGUCGCCAUGAAAAUAAUUAAGUGAUUAAGUUUCUUUAUAUAACUUCCACGUACACAGUCAAUCAAGUUGUAUAGUAGCUCUGUAGCUUUAGAAAUUUAGCUCACUGCAUGAUGCAGAACAUGAGUAAAUUAGUGAACCUUGGAGGCCAAAUGGAAGAGAAAGAAUUAGGGAUGGGGGGAUUCAAUCUAUUUAUUAUAUGAAUGGGGAAAGAAAAGAAAGUCGGACAAUGAUGAAGCCAUGAAGGAAAGUAUGCCAAGUAUUUGAACAAACUAAAAAGACACCAAUAUUAAAAUCAGAUUAGUAUAAUAAGAAAACAAUACCAACAAUAAUUGAUCCUCAUAUGAACACGUAGAACUAAAAAAUAUUAUAAUAGCAAAGCAUAAAACACAGUUUAUGCCAAAGUAAAUUAAUUAGUCACAGUGUUAACAUCAGCACGAAUUAGUAAAUAAGUCUAAAAUUCCACAAAACUAAUAUUCAUACUGGUGGUGUUAUACGAUAUUCAGGUUUUAGAGCAACCCUAAUGCCUAUUCCAGCUGCAAAUUAAGAGAGGAAGAGGGACUUACAAGAAGAAGAGGACGGAGGGGAGUGAUGGGUGCGGCCGGCGGAAGGAGGGAUGAGGGAAUGGCCGAUGGGUUGACCUAUCCGGGUCCCAAAAAAUCUGUUCUGCAAGUUGAGAAAAUCCAAGUUCCAAUCAUUUCGUCCCGAAUCAAAUCGGAGAAGACGAAGACGAAGAGUCACAAAGGUCUACUCCACCAAAGAAUGCUUUUUUAUUAACUCGAUGUAGAUCUGCUCCGUACAGAUCUUCGUCUUUGGCCAACCGAUUUUGGGGUUCGCCUCAGGCGAGCUUAUUAGAAGAAACAGAGGAGGAUUUAGGGCUGGGUAUGAGGAUUUUGAGGGAUCGACUUGUUUGGGGGAAAAUAAGAGGGAAUGAGAGAGCUCUGUGUGUAGUAGAACAGAGAGACGUGUGUGGUAGAAUAGAGAGAGAUGGUUUCAAAUUUGAAUAAAGGGGAAUGAGAGAGAGAGCUGCUGACGUUAACUUGAUGUUACAUUUGUCUAUUUUCUCUUUCUGUUCUGUUUUAUAGAUAUAGAUAUAUCAAUUAGUAAUAAAUGAAGUAGUCUCCUUUCAAGUAUGGAAGACGUGAACAAUUUUAAUUGAGUGACAUGAAACGCGCGUGUGGGUUGUUGUGCCUGCAUAAAAAUGAUGAUACUAUUUAAUUUAAAAUUAAUUGACAAUAAAUUAUAUAUCGAGUUUCUAGGUCCUAAUUUUUCGAUGCGAGACUUUAUAUAUCAACAAUAAAUAUAUAGAAAAACUAUCAAAGGUUUAUUUAUUUAUUUUAUGAAUUGUCAUAAAUUUGUAGAUGAAAUAUAGAAUUGCAACCAUAUAGUACUAACUAAUUAGAGAGGCUGCAAUAUGCAUGCCAAUAUUCUAGAGUUAAUGGAAAAUCAUGUGUUCAGAUAACUCUAUAUAUGAAGCAUCGGAAUAUGUACAAAUAUUUAGUUGAACUCGUUAAACUCCCUUCUUAUUAAUUAUUUAUUGCAUGCAACAACUGCCUUCUUACUUCCUCCUUUCCAAUUUUCAUUAAAGUCAUUUUAGAAGAAAUUUCUUUCCCAUAAUAAAAGACGCACGUGUUAUAUAUAUAGGAGGAAAAAAGUAAUACUUUCCUACUUUGCCCCUAAAAAAAAUAAAGUAAUUGAGCGAGAGGAGAAAAAGUAAUUAAUUAAUGUAUGAGUUGUAAUGAAAUUUUAAAUCAACAUUAAUUAACUAAUAUUAGAAUUAAUGAGAUUUUUUAAAUAAUAGCUUAAAUAAUUCUUUCACGAGAAAAGGAAAAUAAAUGAAUAUAUAUUUAUUAUUAAUGUAGUUAUAAUUAAAGUAAAACAUUGGCAUACAAACAAUUACUGAGAUUUGAUACAAGUUAGAAAUUAAGACAAAGAAUUACUAGUAUUUUCUAGGUUACAUUUUGCCAAGGAAUAUAAAUCGGUGGUUUGUGGAACAAUAUAUAUGAAAUAUUUACUACUACUAGAUAGAUAUGUCAAUGGUGCGGAUUCUACUGAAUAUAUAUAUAUAUAUAGAGUCCAGUUCCGAUUCGGACGUCCGCAUUUUAGUAGCGUCCAGGCCUUUUUUUUUUCUUUUUUUUGCUUUUUUUUAUUCAACUAAAAAAAAAAUAAAAAAAAUAUGGAACUUGAAUUUUUACAUAAUACAGUGUUUUGGAUGUAAUUUGGAUACAUAUAUCAAAACAUAUAUGUACAGUCUGUGCAGACUGUACAAAACAUAUAUGUACAGUCUGUGCAGACUGUACAUACAUUUUUUGGUAUAGGUAUCCAAAACACGUCCAAAACAUUAUAUUAUAAAAAAAAUUCAGUUCCAUAAUUUUUAUUUUUUUUUAGUUGUUCUACAAAAAAAAAAAAAUAAUAAUAAUUUUUAGGGUUCGGAUUUUGGACCUGUCCUGAAGUUCGGACAGGAUCCGUGUUAUAUAUAUAUAUGGAAAUUGGAACAUGCAUAACAUUAAUUUAAGUACAUACAUGAAGGCCCCCAGCUAUUGUGUGAUACAAUUAUAAAGAUCGUACUGACAUAGAACUACAAAGGGCCUGCCCUAUUUUGCUAACUGGAAGGGCCCUGGCCUAGUUAUGGACAACUUUAAUGAUGGAAAUAUAAAAAUCCGAUCAUGAUAAUUACAGGAUCUUGACAUGCAUGUUACAUUAACUGUAGUCUGUAGGAGUGGGGCAAAAGUAAAAUAUUAUUACCUUCUUAAAAAUUUAUGGUUUAAGAUUUUUGUAUAUAGAUUAAAAAAGUUAUUUAAUAUUAUUAUUUAAUAAUUAAAAUUUAUUUUAAAUUUCAUUAGUAUCCUUUUAUCAGAGAGAAUUUCUUGAGAGAAUGAGAGAAGGUAGGGGUGAUAUAAGAAAAUAAAUAAAUUAUUCUCCUCGAAAGUUGUAAACGUCAAAUAAAUUGAAAUAAAUUUUUUUUUCUAAAACAAUAAUCUUUUAGAAAUAGAGGGAGUACUACUGUAUCACAUAUGCAUGCAUGUAUUACUGAUCUCAUCGUUUUUUCAUACAAAUCCAUAAUUAAUUAUGUUUAAAUAAUUUUCUAUUUUUUUUCAAGGAUACCAUUGCAAGUAAAAUAAAUACCAUAAUCAAUAAUCUCACAUAUACAGAUAAAAAUAUCAACAAAUUCCCAGUACUGUUAAGAUAAUGGUGAGAAAGAAAUGAAUCUUAGCCUUAAUUAAGUAAAGUCACACGCCUGAUCAAUUUUAAGCAUAAACACUAAUUAGGACCUCAUUAAAGCAGCCAGGGACAUUGGAUUUGAAUCUCCGUACAAUGUACUCAUUGAAGCCGCCACUAAGUAAAAGGAAAAAGAAAAGAAGAAGUGAAGAAAAAUAGAAAACGUAGUGCUUAUUAAUUAAGAGUCGCUAAAGCCAUAAUUAAUUAAAGCUCCUGCAUCUUCUUUAGUGAGCCAUUGAUGAGAUGAAGAGUCAUGACAGUACUGGUAGCAGAUCACACCAAUUUCCCCCCAAUAAACAUGCACCGCUUGCACCGACGGGUUGCACCCUAGCUAGCUACCUAGCCCUACUAAAGAUAUUAAUAGUCUCUUGAUUGCAUGGGGACAUGCAGCAUGAACUCGAUCUUACUAAAGAUAUAUCACCAGUACUGCCUUUCGAUAUCGAUGCAUGCCAAUUUCGCUACACGUACGAUCCAUUCCAAGCAUAUAGUAACGUAAAUUAUUCUAGCUAGGUGGUUAUAAAAAUAUGAAAACUUGAAUUUGAUGAGGAACGAACGAAGUAGAAAAAGGAUGCAUGCUGAUCAAUUAUGGAGUUUUAAUUAUAGUUAGUUAGUACUUCUAGGCUUGGCUGGCUUGUGAUAUUGGUAUUGGAGCUCUCAAAGUGCUUAUAUUUAUAGUCAAAAGAGAGGUGUGGGAUUGCAUAAUUUAGCCUCUUCUUUUUAUUAUAACAUCUUUCUUUACAAAUUUAUAUAUAGUAAUGCAAAAGAAGAAUAGAGUAGAAAAAGACUACGGUUCUUUCGGAUAUAUAUAUUUAUAUAUAGGGCAAAGAUGCAAAAAAGCCCCUGAUGUUUACACGAUUGUCCCACUUCCACCUUCAACUAAUUUUUUUUUCCAAAAGUAUCCUUAACGUUUCAAAAAGAAGGUCACCCGUGUCCUUGCCGUUAACAGAAGACAAACGAGAUUAAAAUAUGAUGACGUGUCAGACUUAAAUUAGGGCAAAUGUUCAAAAAUGUCCCUGAUGUUUAUACGGAUAUCCCACUUCCACCCUAAAUUAAUUAGAAUAUUAUCAUAUAAAACAUAUUCUAAAUAAAAUAAUAUAUAUCAUUUAAUCAAAACAAAAAAUUCAAAAUUCAAAAAAAAAAAAAACAUAACAUAUUUACAUCAUUUAAUUAAAAUAAUAAAAUUUAAAUUAUUUUGUUAACUAAUCAAAACAACUAAUUAAAUAAAAUAAGUUGUAUAACAUAAUUACAUCAUUUAAUCAAAGUUUUCAUUAUUUAGCCAACACUUUACCUUUCUCAGGGAGAAACUUGACGAGGCCAAUAAAGAAAACAAGUUGCUUGAGAAAAGAUUGAAUUUGAGUUGGGUAUUAUUGGCUAUUGACAAUCUUCACUUUUCCACCUUAAGCCCAAGCCAUUUCAUUACGGUUCUUAAGCAGACUAUUAAAACUAUUAGGAAUCUGCUGGCUGGGAUCUAGAUGCUGCUGCCAAUUGAAGCCUAAGUUCACAUUUGCAAAAUUUUGCUGCACCAAGUAUUUGCUACUUAUUCAUCCCAAGAUGGAAGCAUCUCUAUUCGAAAACUUAAAUCAGAGACAUUCGGUGGGAUCCGGAGAAAAGGGAUAAACUAAUACACCCAACAGAACAAGGAUAAAUCAAACAUAGGAAAGAAGGGAUCAAAAAUCAGACAAUAAAACAUAAGAAAGGAGGGAUCACAAAUUAGACAAAAUUUGAGGAAACUCAUAAAGAACAAACUCUGGAUUUCUUUCGCGACAAACAAAAAUUAGAGAGCAUCACCUUCUGUUGGCCGGAGUUUUGCAGGAAUCUUCCCUUCCGUAGCAAAUUUGUUCGUAGCGAGAGAGAUGGUUGGGAGAAUCCGUAGCAAACUUGUUCGUAGAAAGAAAGAUGGUUGGGUUAGAGAGAGAAGUGGAUGGUUCAUCUGAGACCUCACACUCAUUUGACCCA
Molecule: long non-coding RNA, 15941 nt
Filed under: Panax ginseng (ginseng)
Lineage: Eukaryota; Viridiplantae; Streptophyta; Magnoliopsida; Apiales; Araliaceae
Description: long non-coding RNA (PGIN_LNC007838)
Source: RNAcentral